Molecule: ribosomal RNA, 62 nt
Filed under: Rhodococcus (subgen. Prescottella) equi
Lineage: Bacteria; Bacillati; Actinomycetota; Actinomycetes; Mycobacteriales; Nocardiaceae
Description: Rhodococcus hoagii partial 23S ribosomal RNA
Source: RNAcentral
GAACUGGAAGCACAGUAAUGUGUGGAGGUGACUGGUACUAAUAGGCCGAGGACUUACCACAA